GGUGAGGUGCGAGAGUGGUUGAAUCGGGCGGUCUCGAAAACCGUUGAGGGGGUGACUCCUCCGUGGGUUCGAAUCCCACCCUCACCGCCA
This 90-nucleotide transfer RNA is filed under the name Acidobacteriota bacterium. RNAcentral describes it as "tRNA-Ser". It matches the Rfam family "tRNA". From Rfam's summary of the family: Transfer RNA (tRNA) molecules are approximately 80 nucleotides in length. Their secondary structure includes four short double-helical elements and three loops (D, anti-codon, and T loops). Lineage: Bacteria; Pseudomonadati; Acidobacteriota. The record is from RNAcentral. RNAcentral also lists the same sequence under 4 other names.